UUGCACUUGUCGCCCAGGCUGGAGUGCAAUGGCACAAUCUUGGCUCACCACAACCUCCACCUCUCGGGUUCAAGCAAUUCUCCUGCCUCAGCCUCCUGAGUAGCUGGGAUUGCAGGCAUGCGCCACCACGCCCGGCUAAUUUUGUGUUUUUUUAGUAGAGACCGAGUUUCUCCAUGUUGGUCAGGCUGAUCUGGAACACCCAACCUCAGACGAUCCGCUUGCCUCGGCCUCCCAAAGUGCUGGGAUUACAGGCGUGAGCCACUGCGCUCGGAGUCCUUGGCCUUUAGAUGAUUUAUAGAUCAAAACUGUGAGGCUGCGUGAAUUGAUCAAGAGAACAGGCGAGGGCGGGGAAGAGGUGUGAAACCUGAGCCCUAGGGCUUCCAGUCCUCAGAGGUGGGUGAGGAAUGGGCCAGGUAGCGGGGGUGGAGUGGUAAGAAAGGUGGGGCUGGGCGCGGUGGCCCACGCCUGUAAUCCUAGCACUUUGGGAGACCGAGGCAGGUGGAUAACUUGGGGUCAGGAGUUUGAGACCAUCCUGGCCAGCAUGAAGAAACCCCAUUUCCAAUAAAAAUACAAAAAUUAGCCAGAUGUGGGUGCCUGUAGUCCCAGCUACUUGGGAGGCUGAGGCAGAAGAAUUGCUUGAACCCGGGAGGAGGAGGUUGCAGUGAGCCGAGAUUGCGUCACUGCACUCCAGCCUGGAUGACAAAAUGAGACUCCAUCUCAAAAAAAAAAAAAAAAAGGAAGGUGGGAUCCUGGAGAGGUAGCACCCUGGGAGACAUUCCACGGUGGCGAGGAGUAAUUCAGCGUCAGGAUAGGCAGCUGGCGUCUCUGUCUGGCUGUAGGAACAGCUGUGGUGGAUGCCACAUUAGAGUUCUGGAGCUGAUGGUGGCAGCAGCUGGAACGUGGACUGUGAGAGGAGCCUUCCUUUUCUCCCCAGCAUAUAAGAUGCUGUCUUUAAGUAUGCCUUAUUUCUGUCUUUAAGUGUGCCUUAUUAAAAACGCCUUUUAAUUCUCAAUGUCCAGGCAAUGUGAAAUACUGGGUAAAAGUUCUGAAGUAGUUUCUAAAUGUUUAUUUGGUUAGUUAUUUUUAUUUAUUUAUUUAAUUUUAUUGUAUUAUUAUUUUUUGAGACGGAGUCUUGCUCUCUUGCCCAGGCUGGAGUGCAAUGGUGCUAUCUCAGCUCACUGCAACCUCCGCCUCCUAGUUCCAGUGAUUCUCCUGCCUCAGCUUCCUGGGUAGCUGGGAUUACAGGUGCACACCAUCAUGCCCAGCUAAUGUUUGUAUUUUUAGUAGAGAUGGGGUUUCAUCGUGUUGGCCAGGCUGGUCUCAAACUCCUGUCCUCAGUUGAUCCACUUACCGCUGCCUUCCAAAGUGCUGGGAUUACAGGCGUUAGCUACCAUGCCUGGCCUAUUUUUUUUUUUAUUUGAGAUGGAGUCUUGCUGUGUUGCCCAGGCUGGAGUGCAGUGGCACAAUCUUGGCUCACUGCAACCUCUGCCCCCUGGGUUCAAGCAAUUCUGCUGCUUCAGCCUCCUGAGUAGCUGGGACUGCAGACAUGUGCCACCAUGCCCUGCUAAUUUUUUUUGUAUUUUUAGUAGAGAUGGGGUUUCACCGUGUUGGUCAGACUGGUCUCAAACUCCUGACCUCAAAUGAUCCGCCCACCUCGGCCUUCCAAAGUGCUGGGAUUACAGGUGUGAGCCACUGCGCCCAGCCUAUUUGGUUAAUUAUUAAGAGUAUCUUUUCUUCAAAGAGGAAACAGAGAAACAGUUGGAACAGUUCUUUGGUCAUUCAUUUAGUCUACCUCCUCACCUUGGGUAUUUUCUGUAUAAAAUCCCCAUGUAGAGGCACGGGGCUUUGGCUGGAGCUGGUGACAGGGUGCUCGCUUCUCUUCGAGCCACUCAUUUCUUUCAGGGACCAGUUUAAGAGGCAGUGUAGUCUAACUAGCUGUGUUAAACUUGGUUGCGAAGUAGAAUUUAACCUUUUUUUGGUGUUUAGUUUCCUCAUCUAUGGAGUCAUCUAUAGGACUAGAUUUAGGACAUAAAGGAUCAAUGCCAUGAAAAAUCAAUGGUCAUGGUUUUUUUUUUAUCUUGAGCUGCACUUCCUUCUGUAACUUAUGGGCAUUUUGCUUUCUGCAGCAAAACAGAAUGUAUUGAUUCUGGUGGGGCACGGUGGCUCACGCCUGUAAUCCCAGUACUUUGGGAGGCCAAGGAGGGCAGAUCACCUGAGGUCAGGAGUUUGAGACCAGCCUGGCCAACAUGGCAGAACCCCAUCUCUACUGAAAAUACAAAAAUUAGCCAGGCAAAUUCAGUUAGGACCAGGUGUUUCUAAUAAAUUGACUUAUCUCUAAAACUUGGCUGGGCGUGGUGUCUGACGCCUAUAAUCCUAGCACUUUGGGAGUGGGGAGAAUUGCUUGAGGCCAAUACUUCAAGACCAAACUGGCCAACAUAGCAAGAACCCAUCUCUAAAAAAACAAAAAUUGGCAGGCCUGUAGUCCCAGCUACUCGGGAGGCUACGGCAGGAGAAUUGCUCGAACCUAGGAGACAGAGGCUGCAGUGAGCCAAGAUCACAUCAUUGCAUUCCAGCCUGGAUGACAGAGUGAGACUCUGUCUCAAAAAAAAAAAAAAAAAAAAAAAAAAAAAAAAAAAAGCAUGUAUUGUUCUGUCAUCUGAAGCAGAAUUGAGAUUUUCUUCAUCCCUUUUGUUCUGUGUAGCAUAAGUCCAUAUGAGGGGCAGCUAGACAACAUAGAAUCUACUUUAAGG
RNAcentral lists this long non-coding RNA (2750 nucleotides) under Homo sapiens (human). Its description in RNAcentral is "non-protein coding lnc-MKRN1-7:1". The record is from RNAcentral. Lineage: Eukaryota; Metazoa; Chordata; Mammalia; Primates; Hominidae.